UGACAUCAGCUGGGGAAGUUUGAGGGCAGACACAUCAAAGCUGGUUCAGCUGAUAGGUGAAAAAUGUUUUAGUUAUUCUAUCUAAAUUGAUUCCACACAAAAUUAGGUGACCCACUGUAAGUAUGACUCUUUGCUACUGUGUUUUUGAAAAGACGAGGGCUACAUAGGUACCUAGAGGAAAUCUGUGUAUCUGAACUGGCUUCUGUUAAGCUGGUGAUCCCAACCACAAUGGUCUGUCUUCUCUGCAGGAUGAAUGGCAGUGAUUCAGAAGGAAAUGCAUUUUGGUAAGGACUUUGGACCCAUUCUGUGUGCACAUGAGGUGUGAGUAUACAACAAUAUACUCUAUAUUUCAAGAGUAAUGUUGGCAACUCAUGAAUACAUAGGCUUCUCUUCAAGGCCAUCCUAUGAAGUGCAUAGUGAAGUAACAACAUUAGAGCUUGCAUCUGUGCUGCACGAAGGAUACCUUUUCUGCAUCUACCUGGCUGCAGGUCAUCACAAGAAUCCUAACAAGUUGAUGGGAUGCAGAGGAACAUCGCUGAAAUGUAGAGAUUCACGUGGGCAGCUUUCUGACCAAUUAGUGACUGCUGGGUAUUAACAGCAACUUUGAGACGGAGGUUAUUCUUUUUCUCAGCCUUCAUUCCUUGCUCUUACCUUGUUUUUUGCUUUCUUUUAAUUAUUGCAUAAAUAGACUUUUUCUCCACCCAUUACCCAUGGGCGGUUUGCCUUUACUCCACUGAUAGAAUACACUUAGAAUACACUGACAUGCUGCAUGCAAUGAAAUAAGCAACAUGUCAAAAAAAAAAAAAAAAAAAAAAAAAAAAAAAAAAAAAAAAAAGACUAAACAUGGAUGAAAACCCUGAGGAAAAACUUGUCUACUGUGAAGUAUUCCCACCAGACAUCAUUAAACUGUACAACACAAAUCUUUUACAAGUCUUGCCAUGUGAAAUAUGCUUAAAAAGAAGAACUAACAUUUUCUUGGAUUAAAAUCUUAUCUAAAUCUUGAAAGCUGUGCUCAGGGCUCAGGGCAGGGGGCAGUCCAGUGACUCAGGUGUCUAAAAUGGCAGUUUUGAU
RNAcentral lists this long non-coding RNA (1071 nucleotides) under Anser brachyrhynchus (Pink-footed goose). RNAcentral's name for it is "lncRNA (ENSABRG00000009311.1)". The record is from RNAcentral. Lineage: Eukaryota; Metazoa; Chordata; Aves; Anseriformes; Anatidae.